AGUGAAUGGAAGAAUAUUGAAGAUAUAGCAAAUUGUUUAAUAAGUAUUUAAAACAACAACUAGAAAUUCUUUCUGGAGUAGAAUAUCCUACAGUAAACUUAGCACUUUUAUUUAGAGCAGAAAUUGAAAGCAAUAUGUGUGAAAAUGAAGAUGAUUCAUUUAUAAUAAAACAAUUUAAGAAAACUAUUUUACAGAACUUAAAAAAGCGAUUUCCAAUACACGAAGCCCAUGUUUGCGGAGCACUUCUAGAUCCGACUCUUCAAAAUGUUAAAGGUGUUGCAGAAUAUCUUGCAGAUAAGCAACAAUCUGCUGAGGAAUUUUUAGUAUAUAUGAUCCACAAGAUGGUUCCUUUGAAUAUUAGAAAUAAACAGGUAUCUAAGAGAGAAACAGAUAUUUAUUCUAAUAAGUCAUGUCAGCUUCUUGGAGUCAAAAAAUUACGUUUGGAAUUAGCUGCGAAACACGCAAAUAUUAUUCCUCCUGAAGAUCCUAUUCUUAUUGAAGUUAAGAAGUAUUUACAUAUAUCAGAAUCUAUCGAGGAUCCUCUACAAUAGUGGAAUAAAAUGAAGUUAUCACUGCCAAAUUUGUACAAAUUGAUGUGCUGCAUUUAUGCUAUUCCGAUCACUAGUUCAGCAUCUGAGCGUGCAUUCUCUUCUGCAGGUUUACUUAUCACAGCAAAACGUUCUGCGUUAAAACCGUCAAAAUCUAACAAAAUCCUAUUUAUUCAUGAUAAUUUUAAAUUAAUAAAAGAUAUAUAUUUAAAAUACUAUAAAAUAAGUUAUAUAUAAGUUAUC
Molecule: non-coding RNA, 791 nt
Organism: Linepithema humile (Argentine ant)
Lineage: Eukaryota; Metazoa; Arthropoda; Insecta; Hymenoptera; Formicidae
Source: RefSeq, a predicted model, not a curated record